This 253-nucleotide ribosomal RNA is filed under the name uncultured bacterium. Its description in RNAcentral is "partial 16S ribosomal RNA". It matches the Rfam family "Bacterial small subunit ribosomal RNA", at positions 524 to 776 of the family's 1533-position model. The record is from RNAcentral.
UACGAAGGGGACUAGCGUUGUUCGGAUUUACUGGGCGUAAAGCGCGCGUAGGCGGAUCGCUAAGUCAGGGGUGAAAUCCCAGGGCUCAACCCUGGAACUGCCUUUGAUACUGACGAUCUGGAGAUCGGGAGAGGUUGGUGGAAUUCCGAGUGUAGAGGUGAAAUUCGUAGAUAUUCGGAAGAACACCAGUGGCGAAGGCGGCUCACUGGCCCGGUACUGACGCUGAGGUGCGAAAGCGUGGGGAGCAAACAGG